GACGAACGCUGGCGGCGUGCCUAAUACAUGCAAGUAGAACGCUGAAGGAGGAGCUUGCUUCUCUGGAUGAGUUGCGAACGGGUGAGUAACGCGUAGGUAACCUGCCUGGUAGCGGGGGAUAACUAUUGGAAACGAUAGCUAAUACCGCAUAAGAGUAGAUGUUGCAUGACAUUUGCUUAAAAGGUGCAAUUGCAUCACUACCAGAUGGACCUGCGUUGUAUUAGCUAGUUGGUGAGGUAACGGCUCACCAAGGCGACGAUACAUAGCCGACCUGAGAGGGGGAUCGGCCACCCUGGGACUGAGAAACGGCCCCGAAUCCUACGGGAGGCAGCAGUAGGGAAUCUUCGGCCAUGGACGGAAGUCUGACCGAGCCACGCCGCGUGAGUGAAGAAGGUUUUCGGAUCGUAAAGCUCUGUUGUGAGAGAAGAACGAGUGUGAGAGUGGAAAGUUCACACUGUGACGGUAUCUUACCAGAAAGGGACGGCUAACUACGUG
RNAcentral lists this ribosomal RNA (495 nucleotides) under uncultured bacterium. Its description in RNAcentral is "partial 16S ribosomal RNA". It matches the Rfam family "Bacterial small subunit ribosomal RNA", at positions 28 to 507 of the family's 1533-position model. The record is from RNAcentral.